AGCGAACGCUGGCGGCAGGCUUAGCACAUGCAAGUCGAGCGGGCAUCCUUGUGGUGUCAGCGGCAGACGGGUGAGUAACGCGUGGGAACGUGCCCUUCGGUUCGGAAUAACUCAGGGAAACUUGAGCUAAUACCGGAUACGUGCGAGAGCAGAAAGGUUUAUCUGCCGAAGGAUCGGCCCGCGUCUGAUUAGCUAGUUGGUGAGGUUAUGGCUCACCAAGGCGACGAUCAGUAGCUGGUCUGAGAGGAUGAUCAGCCACACUGGGACUGAGACACGGCCCAGACUCCUACGGGAGGCAGCAGUGGGGAAUAUUGGACAAUGGGGGCAACCCUGAUCCAGCCAUGCCGCGUGAGUGAUGACGGCCUUAGGGUUGUAAAGCUCUUUUCUCCGGGACGAUAAUGACGGUACCGGAGGAAUAAGCCCCGGCUAACUUCGUG
Molecule: ribosomal RNA, 437 nt
Filed under: uncultured bacterium
Lineage: Bacteria
Description: partial 16S ribosomal RNA
Rfam family: Bacterial small subunit ribosomal RNA
Source: RNAcentral